GCGACGCCUUGGAACCCCGAGGGCCGGCGGGGCGGGGCGGAGCUCCCGGGAAGGCUCGAGCGGGAUCAAGAUCCUGGGCGCGCCCUCCCGCCCGCGGGCACGGGGCUCUGCGCCGGUUCCCGCCCUCCCCCCAGGCCCCCGGGGCCUGUCGCCGAGGACUGUCGCCUGGAGGACUUCGGGGAGGAGGUGGCGCCCGGCGACGUGGGCCUCGUCGACUCCGGCAGCCGCGGCUGCGGACGCAAGGAGUCGGCCCCGCGACGGAUUAAAGGAUUAAAGGUUCCCUUCGCGGUUACCCGUCCGCGCGCGUGGGCUCCGGCGCGUUGGGGCUCAGCGUUGGCCGGACGCCCCCGCUCCCGGUGCGCGGGGGGACGCCGUUCCCCGGGGCCUCUGCGAGCGGCGUCCUGGGGAACUGGAGACCUGGAGGGCUUGCGAGGUCAUCGCGGGAAAGCCCGAGACCCGGCUUGGGAAUCCCUGCGCGGGCAGCAGGGCGGUUACGAACGUGGCUCUGCGAAAACAGCUGUGCGGCUUGAGAUGAACCUGAGAUAGCUUAAAAAAAAAAAAAAACUGCUGUGAAAUGUGCACCUGAACCUGAUUGGCAUUCCUAAAGGGGUGAUUAAUUCUCUUGUGCCUUUUUUUUUUUUUUUUUUUGGUUAGGAUUCUAUACUCCAGGCCAAAUAACUUUUUUUUUUUUUUUUAAGAUUCACAGGAGAAUUAGUUGUAGAGGCCACUUUUAGGCAACAGGCAUAAUAAGCACUUGGAAACCUGAGUCGGGCAGAGGUGCCCACAGUGACCAGGGGACUGAAUGCAAACAGACUCAUUAGGCGACCCACCUAAAAAUAGCCAUAGACCUAAGCUGAGGAAUGGGCUACCUGCAACCGGGCACAGGUACCCAAACACGAAAAUUCCAUGUUCCCAUCCCUCCUCACCACCUCCUAAACUACAGCCCAACACUGCCUCCUGACAGUCUCUCCUUUGCUUUCCUGACCAGCUAACUGGAAAUUCAAUAAACUUCUAUCACCUUUGUUCUGCCUCA
Molecule: long non-coding RNA, 1033 nt
Filed under: Canis lupus dingo (dingo)
Lineage: Eukaryota; Metazoa; Chordata; Mammalia; Carnivora; Canidae
Description: lncRNA (ENSCAFG00020003908.1)
Source: RNAcentral